Long non-coding RNA from Pongo pygmaeus (Bornean orangutan), 5998 nucleotides. RefSeq lists it as uncharacterized. The record is from RefSeq and is a predicted model, not a curated record. The transcript is spliced from 4 exons. NCBI's taxonomy places the organism in Eukaryota, Metazoa, Chordata, Mammalia, Primates, Hominidae.
UUUACAAACUUGACGUACACACGCAGUCCUAUCCCUACGGUCCUGGAAUUGGGGGUUACUAUCUUGGAAUCUGGGGGCACUCCAGGCUCUGGGCUCAGACGGCUGACUUCUGCCUACCCGAGCCUUAACCUUUCAAAGACCCGAAGGAUUCCAGAGCUCUUGCCCUAGGUCCUGGGGCAGCGAUGACUCACUGCAGCACCCCCUCCCACUUCGCCAAGCUGCCGUCUCCGCCCACCCCCAAACAAUCUCUACAGCGCAUUUCGGGAGCCACGGCUCCGGGCGCUUUGCUGGGGGCUAAAGGGGUUUAUCCCUUUCCUUGAAUCCCAGCAGGCUAGAACUACCCCCUCCCAGGCUUCAGGCUUGCCACGCUCUCCACCCGAUCCUUCCAUCGAAAGGCAGAAAAGGAAGGAUGUGCUUGGGAACUUUAAGACCCACGAACGACAGCGCACUGAUGGAGCAGCCCAGUGUCCGGGGAUUCUAGACAGCAGUGACAAGAGUGGCAGCCGUGGCUACUGCUGCAUGAUUUUGGAAUGGAACGCUGCCUGAGUUUCAGCUGAGGUGUAUCAGUAUGGCAGAUUCAAAAUAACAAGCAACGUCCUCCAGGUUCAUUCAUUCAGGAAGCCUCUGUCCAGCCUUUACCAUGCGCUGAGUGAGAAGCUGAGGAUAAGGAAAGAUCAAGACCCCCAAGAAACCCUGAUGUCUGGCUGAAAGCCGAAGCAUGACACAACUUUGCUAUAUUUCUCUCCAACAAGGAUUUGUAUAUUUUCACUUUCUCCUCAAGUAACACCUGGACCUGCUCCUUUCCCUUCAAAUGCUGAGGGCUCAGUCUCCAAGUUCCUUUGUGAAACAGGGUGUACCAUCAGAGACGCAGGAAAAACACACAUUGUAAAGUAAGAAUUCUUCAAAGACAACUUGAAGACAUCUGGGAAUUCUGAAGCCUGAAAACUUCAUGAGUUCAUAGCAGUGUUCACUAAUUCCACUGAUCUAAAGACAAAAAGGAGAGUCAACUGCGUGCCCAAACUCAUUUCUGAUGAUUUCUUCCAUCCUACCUUUUCUGCCUCUCUGGGGGUGGUUAUGCCUGUGAAAAACAUCGAAGCUGUCAGGAACAGAGUCAGCUUUCAAGAUUGGAAUGUCAAAGUAGAGUCUUCUUUUCCUCAGACCAGAAGGGGCUUGGUUGGGUAAGAGUUUCCAGAUCUAAAUGGAGACAGGACUGGGAUAUAGGAGCUUGUAUAGAUAAACAGCACAAACACCUUGGGUAAGUGAUACACCAAGAGAGAUCAAAAUAGGGUAGGAACACGAUCCUAAAGCUACAUGAGAUAAGAAGCCAAGAGAUCCUGUCUACAGGCUGAUUUGUGUUGCAACCAGAGGCCAACUACACUCAAGAAAAUUCUAAAUGAUGUAAUUGGUCGUGGACACUUUUUUGUAAAAAUGAUCGAUAUUUUUUUCUUAUAGGGAUAAAGCUUAAAAGCAUGGGAUGUAGCUCCAUUAGGAAAUAUGAAGUGAGUUGGUAUAUUCCAGGUAGGUUAGACUGAGAUAAUUAUAAAAUUGGGCUGAUCUUACAUAGAGAAGAACUUGAUUCCUAAAGGUGUUGAAGGACAAGAUGGGGACAGUUAUUAAAGUGUUCAGGUGCUGUCCUUUGUAGUCUGUAGCCUAUUAAAAUAAUACACAACUGAACACAGACCCAAGGAAAGGGGUUCCACUCAUCGCUAGAAUGUAAACUCUAAGAAGAUAAGGAUUUUGUCUGCUUCAUUUACUACUGUAUUCCCAGCUCCUAAAAGAGUAUCUAGCACUUAGUAUCUGUUGGUAAGUACCUGUUGAAUUAAUUAACCAGUGGUGACACUUUGGAAAGCAGCUAGUCCAUCUGUAAGAUCGUUUUCUCAUCUGUGAGAUGAGUCAGUUAGAUUAGAUGUUUCUAAGCUUAUUCUAGUUUUAAAAUUGUAUGUUUCUAUCAGAAAUGAUAAAUGAAAAAUGUCCAUUCCUUUUUCAUCUCCAUCACCCAUCUCACAUCUUCCUUCAGUGCCUAUGUGAUCUGUUUGAGUAUAACCAGGUGUAGAAAAGUACUAAGUGAUAUGAGAUGACUUCAGUAGUCCAGGGACUCUUUUUCCCCCCUCUGUAAAGAGCCAUUUGCUUAAUUUAAUGUACAUUAUAAAAACAGAAUUCGUUUCUCAAUUUCAUUUAUAGUCAUACUAUAGUUCACUUUUCACAUCAAUUUAAGGUACAAGGAAGUCAACUUAAAGAAAGUAUUUUAAGUAAAUUAUAAUGCAAGUUCUUCACAGUUGUAGCACAAACCACAAUGGUAGGACACAAGCAAUUGCUAUUUGAGAAAUAGGCCUCUUCGUCAGUACUUGUGGCACGUAUCUUAAAACCCGACUUUCACUAGUGCUCUCAAAGGAACUAAGUCACAAUUCAAGUGAACAUACCAUUUAGCUGAGGGCCCUUUAUUCCUGUUUAUGGUAAAAUAAUUGCCUUACUUGUACUUUUAAAAAAUAUACUUUUUCUGCUUCUGACCAUAAUGGGCUAACUGCCAUUAAAGAGACCAUCUAUCAUAAACAAUUAGAGAACUGGAUAGAAAAUAUGAAGCCACUGUUUUUGGAUAAUAGGCAGCACAAAACUAUGAUCCCUGAGAAAAAGGAAGGAAAUGAGCUGAUGCCUAUAAUUGCCCUGAUUUUUUGCCUGGAGAUACUGUCCGAACUGCUACUCUGGAAAGGAAAACCCAGGUGAAACAUGGGGCUUCACCAAGUAGAGGAGACAGGGAUCAAUAUUGGGAAAGCUGAAAUGACUGGAAUUUGUAGGGCAGAAUAUGGGGAAGGAAGGAGCUAUGUAGGGAAAGAGCUCAAGAAAUACGCACAAGGGGGUUGGAUGCGGUGGCUCACGCCUGUAAUCCCAGCACUUUGGGAAGCUGAGGUGGGCAGAUUACUUGAGGCUAGGAGUUCAAGACCAGCCUGACCAACCUGGUGAAACUCUGUCUCUACUAAAAAUACAAAAAUUAACCGGGCAUGGCCCGAUGCGGUGGCUCCUGCCUGUAAUCCCAGCACUUUGGGAGGCCAAAGCGGGCGGAUCACAAGAUCAGGAAUUCAAGACCAGCCUGACCAACAUGGUGAAACCCUUUCUCUACUAAAAAUACAAAUAUUAGCUGGGCGUGGUGGUGCAUGCCUGUAAUUCUAGCUACUCAGGAGGCUGAGGCAGGAGAAUCGCUUGAACCCGGAAGGCGGAGGUUGCAGUGAGCCAAGACCACGCCACUGCACUCCAGCCUGAGAGACAGAGCAAAACUCCAUCUCAAAAAAAAAAAAAAUUAGUCAGGCAUGGUGGCAGGCACCUGUAAUCCCAGCUACUCGGAGGCUGAGGCACAAGAAUCACUUGAACCCAGGUGGCAGAAGUCACCGUGAGCGAAGAUCGCACCACUGCAUUUCCAGCCCGAGUGACAAAGUGAGACCCUGUCUCAAAAAUAAAAAUAAAAAUAAAAGAAUAUACAAAGGACGUUCUUGAGUUUUUGGCUGAUUAUGGAACUAUAUACGGUAAGACUCCACAAGUGAAAGAAUAGUACUUGGAAAGACAAUUACUGAAGAACUAUAAACUGAACAACUACCAGAUCUCCUCCUGAACUGAAAUAUAUUCAAGUUCCAGCCAAAGUCGAGACACACUAUUGAAUUUAUGCAUCAUUUAGUAGAGACCCCAAAAUAUUCAUGCCUCAGUAGUAAUGCAAAAUUGUCCCUACAAUAAAAACUACAGUAGCUCCCCCUUAUCCACAGUCUUACUUCCUGGAGCUUCAGUUACCCACAGUCAACUUCAGUCCAAAAAUAUUCAAUGGAAAAUCUCAGAAAUAAGCAAUUCAUAAAUUUUAAAUUGUACACUGUUCUGAGUAGCAUAACGAAAUUUCAAGCCAUCCCACUCUGUACCACCCAGAACAUGAAUCAUCCCUUUGUCCAGUAUAUGCCACCCUCCCAUUGGUCACUUAGGUUAUCAGAAUGACUGUGGCAGUAUCACAGUGCUUAUACACAAGUAACCCUUGUUUCGUUUAAUAACAGCCCCCACAUGCAAGAAUAGCAAUGCUGGCAAUUUGGAUAAGCCAAAGAGAAGCCACAAAGUACUUCCUUUAAGUAAAAAUGUGAAAGUUCUUGACUUAAUAAGGUAAAAAAAGUCAUAUGCUGAGGCGGCUGAGAUCUACAGUGAGAACAUAUCUUCUAUCCUUGGAAUUGUGAAGAAGGAAAAAGAUAUUUGCUAGUUUUGCUGUUGCACCUCAAACUGCAAAAGUUACCACCACAGUUCGUGCAAAGUGCUUAGUUAAGAUGGAAAAAGAGUUACAUUUGUGGGUGCAAGACAUGAACAGAGAGGCAUUCCAAUCAAUAGCAAUCAGGUUCAGGGGGUACUGUCCUCAGUUUCAGGCAUCCAUAGAGGGUCUUGGAAAGUAUUCCCCACGGGGGUGGGGGGAGGGGAGGCUACUGUACUCCAUACUUGUUCUAAUAAAACUUUUUAGAAAUCUCAAAAAGAUUAAGCUAAUCUACAUGAAAUUUAAAUGCUUGCUAGAACAAAGCACAAUGCUCUUUAAAGGAGCAAAACUAAAUCCAGACAAUCAAUACUGUAACACAAUGUUCAGCAACAUGCAAUAAAAAAAUUACUAGACACACAAGAAAUUAAGAAAUAAAACGUCCUUUCCAUAAACAGGAGAAAAAUGCAUCAACAGAAAGAGACCCAGAAGUGAGAGAGAUGAUAAAAUUAGUGGACAAGGAUUUUCAAACAGCUAUCAGUAGUUUAAGUAUGUGUAUAAAAACAUAAAUGCAAUGAGAGAAAUGGGAACUGUAAAAAAGAACCUAGUGAAACUUCUAAAGCAGGAAAGUAUAAUAUCUGAAGUGAAAAUAUUCACUAGAUAGUUGCAAUAACAGUUUGAUAUUGCAGAAGAAAAAGGUCAGUGAGCUUGAAUAGAACAGAGAGGAAAGUACAGAACAGUGAGCUUGAAUAGAACAGAGAGGAAAGUAAGUUCAACCAUUAGUGCUGUAACAAUCAGACUGUAUUGAAAAAGACUAACUUUGGUUCCUACUGCUUACCACACGCAAAAAGUAAACUAGACACAGAUCGUGGAACUAAAUGUGAAACCUAAAACGAUAAAAUUUUAUGACCUGGCCAUAAUGGAUUUCUUAGACCAUAAAAAGUACUAACCAAAAAACACCAAAUUGAUAGAUUUCCUCAAAAGCAAAAACUUUUGCUACUGACAAAGCACCAUUAAAAAAUAAGUCAAGUCAAAGACUGAAAGAAAAUAUUCACAAUGCACAUCAUAGAGUUGUAUCUGGACUAUAAGAAGAACUUUUAUGACUCAAUAAUAAGAAGACAACCAAAUUUUUAAGAGGAGCAAAAGAUUUGAACAUAUACUUCACAGAAGAAUAUAAGGGUCAGUAAACACUAAAAGAUACUCAACAUCAUAGUCACCAUAGAAAUGCAAUUUUAAACCGCAAUAAGAUACCACUACACACCUACUAAAGUAGCUAAAAUGUGAAAAGGCAGAUAUUACCAAGAUUUGGAGAGGAUGUAGGAGUACUGGAAAUGUCAUACAUGGGUAGUGAGAGUGUAAAAUAGUACAAACAUCUUAGAACACAAUUUGAUAGUUUCUUAUAAAGUUAAAGACAUGCUUAUCAUAUAACUCAUCAACCCCUUUUCUAGGUAUCAGCCCAAGAAAAAUAAAAAACAUAUGUCUGCUCACAGAUUGCUUGUCUACUUAUGUAUGAAUACUUGUUGAACACAAUAUGAAUGAAUCUCAAAAAUAUUUUGCUGAGUAAAAGUGCCCAAUCCCCAAAAAGUACACGUCACAUGACUCAAUUUGUUUGAAGAUCUAAAACAGGUAAAUCUAGUCUUUAUUGAUAGAAAAUAUAAUGGCAGCUAGGGUUAGGGUGGGAGGUUGCCUGGGCAGAAACAGAAGAUAAUAUUUUAGUGAAUUGGGAAUUUUAUGUGUCUUGAUUUUGGUGAUCAUUAUACAUAUGUAUUCAUAUAUCAAAACUUAAACUGGACA